This 641-nucleotide long non-coding RNA is filed under the name Vigna radiata. Its description in RNAcentral is "long non-coding RNA (VRAD_LNC002980)". The record is from RNAcentral. Lineage: Eukaryota; Viridiplantae; Streptophyta; Magnoliopsida; Fabales; Fabaceae.
AUUAUUGACGAAAAAAUUCGUUGGUUAAUCCAUCUGUAAAAAGAGCGGGAAUUUUUCUGCCCAUUUUUUCCCUCUGUCCACCAAAGGCAUUAUUUAUUUUGCCUUCUCUCUUACAAUGUUCAUUUUUUUUGCCCUCUCUCUCUUCAUGUGCUUUCCUUUACAUCUUCAUCUCUGCUCAAGUCAUUAUAGCUUAGAUGCACCUCCAUCUCCAUUCAGCCAGGCCGUCAUCUUCGUCCUCAUUGACGUCAUUGAGGUCUUCCUUUCAAUCUUCUUCUUCUCUACAACCUCUCCCAGAACCGUCCAAUGUCUCUUUUCUUCCCAUUUCAUGGUUUAGCCGCUUUUGUUCUUCCCUUUUCAAGCUCCAGGCUCUGCCACCACCAUGCAACACCACUUAGGGAAAAACAUUAGGGGAGCUUAGAAAUCUUUUGGGGGUUCAAAUUUCGUCCUCUCUCUCUUUUCACGUUCUUUACCCUCUUUUCUUUAUUUUUCAUGUUAUUUCUACAUUUCAUGGAGCGUUAAGCCUUUGGGGUUGAUUCUAGCCGUUGAGGUUGAUUCUAGCCGUUGAGGUUGAUUCUGUUGUAAUUUCUUAACUGGAUUCUAAGGUUAGAUGAAUAAAUUUGUUUGUUCUUUUGAUUCUUGUU